UGGGGAAUAUUGGGGCAAUGGGGCGCAAGCCUGACCCAGCAACGCCGCGUGAAGGAAGAAGGCCUUCGGGUUGUAAACUUUUGUUGUAGAGGACGAAGAAAGUGACUGUACUCUACGAGGAAGCCCCGGCUAACUAUGUGCCAGCAGCCGCGGUAAUACAUAGGGGGCAAGCGUUGUCCGGAAUCACUGGGCGUAAAGGGAGCGUAGGCGGAUGUUUAAGUUAAGUGUGAAAGCCUGGGGCUUAACUCCAGAAAUGCACUUAAUACUGGAUAUCUAGAGUGUGGGAGAGGUAAGUGGAAUUCCUAGUGUAGCGGUAAAAUGCGUAGAUAUUACUCAGAACACCGAUUGCGAAGGCAUCUCACGAAUCCGCCAUUGACGCUGAGGCACGAAAGACGUGGGGAUCAAACAGGAUUAGAUACCCUGGUAGU
RNAcentral lists this ribosomal RNA (428 nucleotides) under uncultured Peptococcus sp. Its description in RNAcentral is "bacterial SSU rRNA". It matches the Rfam family "Bacterial small subunit ribosomal RNA", at positions 355 to 794 of the family's 1533-position model. Lineage: Bacteria; Bacillati; Bacillota; Clostridia; Eubacteriales; Peptococcaceae. The record is from RNAcentral.